Molecule: ribosomal RNA, 405 nt
Filed under: Chloritis quercina
Lineage: Eukaryota; Metazoa; Mollusca; Gastropoda; Stylommatophora; Camaenidae
Description: partial 16S ribosomal RNA
Source: RNAcentral
CAAAAACAUAGUCUAAUGAAAGACAUUAGAUAUUUUCUGCUCAAUGAGAAAUUAAAUAGCCGCAGUACCCUGACUGUGCAAAGGUAGCAUAAUAAAUUGGCUUAUAAUUGAAGUCGUGGAUGAAUGAAAUUAUGGGGGAGAACUAUAUAAGAAAUAAAGUUUGAAUUUAUUUAAAAAGUGUAAAUACUUUUAUAUAAAUAAAAGACGAGAAGACCCUAGAAAUUUGUAGAAUAAAUUUUGUUGGGGCAACAGUGUAGUAUAUAAACCUACAUAUAUAUACAAGGCUUAUAUUAGUAGUAUGAAAAAAUUACUCUAGGGAUAACAGCAUAAUAAUGAUGAUUGUUUGUGACCUCGAUGUUGGAUUAGGAACCUCUUCUUAGAUAGAUUGAAUUAAUGCUCUGUUCG